AUAGCGGAAAUUCAGAUGGGCUCAAUUGAAGAAAAUUUGGACUUCUAAGCCGAGCUAUUGGAUGAUGGGAAUUUGUGGAGAUGUGUGGGAUUUUUCUUCGGCGAAAUUGGAUUUCGAAUUUGAGAAAUUGAGGAUGAAAUUGAAAUCCAAAAUUAAGGGAAAUUCGGAGCUAGGCAUGGAGGGGUGCAACAUUGGUCAUCAAAUUGGUUUAAUUGAGGAUUAUAUUGCAAGAAAGUAUUGGGGGACAAAGGUUUAAUUGAAAGGAUAAGCUUGAAGACUAUUUGGUAAUCUAAUGAUGGUUUUAGAUAUUUGUUUGACUAUUCUUCCCCUCCAUCCAAAGCUUCUCCGGCACGCCUAACCAGCUGGCCUCGCCGACUCCAUCUCCAUCGGUUGCUGCUUUACUUUUCAUUUUCUCCUUCAUUGUCAAUCACCGAAGCAAGCUGUCUCUCUCCACUGAAUUUCUCUCUCUCUGCACGCGUCCCUCUUCCCCAGCGAGCCAAGCCACCAAAACAGCCCCACCGAAGUCACCAAACCACCAAACUCUUCCCCAUCUUGUUGACCGAAGCUACUCCAGCUUCUGCCGCAGCUCCACGUCCGCUUUUCUUCACCCAAGCAGUGAUCAAAGCUGCUGCCAUCCACCAUCACCUGUCCCACACUGACGUUCUCUCUCUCUCUAUUUGCUGCCGUCUCCACUGAAGUUCCUGCGGCUGCCUCAACGUCAAAGUCCAACGAAGCUGCUUUCCCUUUCGAUCGAAGCCGUGGCCACGUUGAGUCAACCUUCAGCAGCUUCUCUCAAGCAGAACCGGUUUUGUUGACUCCUCAGCCACUCGUACGAAGCAAAGCUCCACCGAUUCUUCCUUCCGCCAGCUGCCAUCUCUCGCGUCUUCAACCCCGACGCCAGAUCACUUCACCAGGUCAACCGAAGCCCAUCUGUUCAGCUUCUUCGGUCCACUGCAGCGCCCCACCCAGCAAGGACGUCUGCUGCCUUCCACCUUCGUCAGUCAACCCCAGCUGCCAUUCACGUUGCGGUGUCUCCCCAGCAGAGACCGAAGCCAUCCUGUGAUCUCUCCCCCUCUGCCAGCGGACGCCAGCUGCUCUCUCAUUCGGUUUGUUGACCGAAGCAGCUGCUGCUUCCUUCGUGGGCCACGCCAGCCCACGUUGCUGCUGCCCAGCAUCCCCAGCGUGGUCUUCUCCAGCAACAU
This 1202-nucleotide long non-coding RNA is filed under the name Eucalyptus grandis. RNAcentral describes it as "long non-coding RNA (EGRA_LNC001314)". Lineage: Eukaryota; Viridiplantae; Streptophyta; Magnoliopsida; Myrtales; Myrtaceae. The record is from RNAcentral.